This 406-nucleotide ribosomal RNA is filed under the name uncultured bacterium. RNAcentral describes it as "partial 16S ribosomal RNA". It matches the Rfam family "Bacterial small subunit ribosomal RNA", at positions 30 to 526 of the family's 1533-position model. The record is from RNAcentral.
AUUGAACGCUGGCGGCAGGCUUAACACAUGCAAGUCGAGCGAGCGGCGGACGUGUGAGUAAUGUCUGGGAAACUGCCUGAUGGAGGGGGUUAACUACUGGAAACGGUAGCUAAUACCGCAUACCAUCAGAUGUUCCCAGAUGGGCUUAGCUAGUUGGUGGGGUAAAGGGUCACCGAGGCGACGAUCCCUAGCUGGUCUGAGAGGAUGACCAGCCACACUGGAACUGAGACACGGUCCAGACUCCGAUGAGAGGCAGCAGUGGGGAAUAGGGGACAAUGGGCACAAGCCUGAUGCAGCCAUGCCGCGUGUAUGAAGAAGGCCUUCGGGUUGUAAGGUACUUUCAGCGGGGAGGCGUGACCCGCAGAAGAAGCACCGGCUAACUCCGUGCCAGCAGCCGCGGUAAUUC